Molecule: small nuclear RNA, 104 nt
Organism: Ailuropoda melanoleuca (giant panda)
Lineage: Eukaryota; Metazoa; Chordata; Mammalia; Carnivora; Ursidae
Source: Ensembl
GUGCUUGCUUCGGCAGCACGUAUACUAAAAUUGGAAUGAUAGAGAGAUAAGCAUGGGCCCUGCGCAAGGAUGACAUGAAAACUUGUGAAGCAUUCUGUUAUUUU